This 26-nucleotide non-coding RNA is filed under the name Rattus norvegicus (Norway rat). The record is from RNAcentral. Lineage: Eukaryota; Metazoa; Chordata; Mammalia; Rodentia; Muridae.
UGGCAGAUUGUUGAUGGAACCAGAAU